GGCGGACGGGUGAGUAAUGCGUAGGAAUUUACCUCAAAGCGGGGGAUAGCCCGGAGAAAUCCGGAUUAAUACCGCAUGUGCUCUACGGAGGAAAGCGGGCCUCUUCUUGAAAGCUCGCACUUUGAGAUAAGCCUACGUCGGAUUAGCUUGUUGGUAGGGUAAAAGCCUACCAAGGCGACGAUCCGUAGCUGGUUUGAGAGGAUGAUCAGCCACACUGGGACUGAGACACGGCCCAG
Molecule: ribosomal RNA, 236 nt
Filed under: uncultured bacterium
Lineage: Bacteria
Description: partial 16S ribosomal RNA
Rfam family: Bacterial small subunit ribosomal RNA
Source: RNAcentral